Long non-coding RNA from Lotus japonicus, 1493 nucleotides. RefSeq lists it as uncharacterized. The record is from RefSeq and is a predicted model, not a curated record. NCBI's taxonomy places the organism in Eukaryota, Viridiplantae, Streptophyta, Magnoliopsida, Fabales, Fabaceae. The transcript has 3 exons.
GAGAAGACGAAGUGGCAGAGGAGAACAUUCCAGACAAGAGAGGGAGAGAGGAGUAGGCGAAGUUGCAGAGACGACAGAGAGGAAAGAUGAGCGUGCGUUUGCGAUUUGCCUCUGCUCUCACCGAUCAAGGUUCAUGUGGAAUAUCUGGAUGAAGUAUUAUAUCUGGAUUGGCCUCCAAACUGCUCUGCCCCAAGACUAUAAAAUGCAUUUCAAUCAUCAUUGUGCUGAGGUGGGAUCAAAGAAGAAGAUGGGAUGGUUAUUAGUUUGGUGCACUUGUGUUUAGACUCUAUGGCUGAGGUGUUGUUUUAGUCUGCAGGUGCAAGUGGUUCAUAAGGCGAAGUAGGGUAUUUGAAUGAGAGCGCAACAAUUUGGUUCGCAGGCAAGAUAAGGUGCUUCUAAGGUCAAGGAAGGUGGUUAUGAUCAAAAGGUCAAUGAAACUGUCACUGUUGUCACUCAAAAGACAUCAGAGAUUGGACAGAGGACAUGGAGUAUAAUGAAAGGGGUCAUGGCUAUAGCUUCACAGAAAGUUGAAGAGUUCACCAAAGAUAACCCAAAUUGGAAGACUAAUAACUGGCAACAAAAUGAGAAUGAUAGAAAUGGUUACUAUCAGGAUUUCAAUAGUGAGAAUAAAGGCGGGAGUUAGCUCAAGCUCUUGGGAUGAUUGGGACCUCAAAGGUAGUAGGAAGGAAGAACCGCUUGAAAGAUCGACUCCACUAUCAUCUGGUAAGCAAUUUGGUACUAUCAACUCAAGCUCUUGGGAUGAUUGGGACCACAAAGACUCUCGGAAGGAAGAACCAGCUAAAGGAUUGGCUCCUCAUAAUCAUGAUGAUGGUUGGGCUGGCUGGGAUAAUAAUGCCAAAUGUGAUGGAUUUGAUAAUUUUUAUGAGGAUGAAUCUAAUAAGAAAGCUACUGGUCAUAAUGGGAAAUCAGAUGCCAAUUGGACAGGGGUAGGCUUUCUCUAAGGUUUGUAAAUUAUGCAAUAGUUCUUAGUAGACUUCAAUACACACACACACACACGUCUAUUUAUGUCUGUUUCACUUUUUAUCCUAAAUUCCUAAUGGUUUACACCAAAAAGUAUAUUUUAACCAAAUAUUAUCAUUUACUCAAAUGACUUCUUGACAAACCUCCCAAUCUUCUCUGUGAAAACCAUUGACUAACAGUUGGUCUUUACUCCCUAUUUAAUCUUCUCAUCUCAGAAUUUUGUGCAAUCUCUCCAAAUAGUGUUUAUCAACUGUUUAUCUUCUAAUGUAUGGUAUAUGUAUGGCUUUGGUCUUUGGUGGGGAAAAGGGAAGGUAGAUGGAGUGGGAAGGGAGAAAAGGAGGGGAUUGGCUGUAUGAAAGGACUCUGGCAAUUUGAAAUUGGAUAUUGUUAUUUGUGUGUUAACUUUUUGUUGUUUAAUGUAUGUUUUAUUCUACUUCCAAAUUAUAUUUCUGAUAUGUAGAUCCUCUACUGUUUGUGGGUGUCAAUGUUAAUUUUGUAUUUCUGAUAUGAAG